Non-coding RNA from Nomia melanderi (Alkali bee), 1084 nucleotides. Lineage: Eukaryota; Metazoa; Arthropoda; Insecta; Hymenoptera; Halictidae. The record is from RefSeq and is a predicted model, not a curated record.
AGACCGGAGUUCGAUUCCCGCUCGUUUGUAUAGUUUUUAUGCCUUUUCUACACAUAGUGUAAGUGUAGUGUAUUAGUAGAAUUUACUCUAUAGAAACAUUUUGAGUCAUUUUUGUUAUCCGUUUUUGUAUAUUUGGUUUAUUGUGCGACUGUAAAUAUUAUUUAUAUCGGCACAAUAAAUAUACUUGUUAGAGAAAAAAGAAGUGGUCAGCAUUCCCGUCUGCGACACGGGAGGCCGGUAGAUGGUGUCGAGACGAGCACACAUUCUACCGAUAUUCACUCACAUAAAUCAAUUCAAAUAGUGCGAAAAUACAUAGUUCAGCAUAAGUUUGAAGAAUUAGACAAUUCACUGCGGAACGACGCGAACACAUUUUAAGGUUAGGAUGACGUACCUUACACGUGUGAAAAUUGUAAAACCGUGCACAAAAGCGUACCGAAGCCAAACCGAAACUGCUGAUGUGCCUCUCCCUCAUCCGGCCAAAUGCACAAUGACCUCCAGGGAUGACGAGAGCGCAACAACAAAUAUUUCCGACAGCAGAUACGAAAAUUCUUCUUUAACCUCGUAGGUACAACGUGCCACCAUAGUAGCUUUCGCGGAUAUGAUCUUUUUGAACGGGAGAUACGGGACUAAUUUUAAAACAAAUAUCAAUACCGGGCUUAAAUAAAAAGUUAUACUAUGAUGUAUCCACGGAAUUUGUUAGGCCAUUGUUUACUCUCUUUUCUCAUGGAGCAGCGUUUAAUGCAUUACAUGGACUUUCACACGCCGGAAUCAAUGCAAUAACCAAGCUCGUGUCCCAACGAUACGUUUGGUCAACCAUCAAAACCGACUCACAGUGACCAAUUUGGUCAUUUUAGGCGGCCGAAAGUCAAUUUCAAAAAUUUCGCCUAAGCUGUAAAAUUUUUGCUCCCCAAGAUAGUUGAAUGUGUGAACAACUGUAACACUUCAUGAAUAAUUUUAUGAUGAUAUCCUGUGAGAUCCAACCUUCUUUCAAGCAAUAUCAGAUUCGACAAAAGUUUGUAUUUAUUAUGCACAAAAAAUUGUUUGCUCAUAUUUUCUCUUUCUAUUUUUAGAGUAUUCUUCCUAA